Pezoporus occidentalis (night parrot) is the source of this 365-nucleotide long non-coding RNA. RefSeq lists it as uncharacterized. Lineage: Eukaryota; Metazoa; Chordata; Aves; Psittaciformes; Psittacidae. The record is from RefSeq and is a predicted model, not a curated record. The transcript is spliced from 3 exons.
GUGGUAGGGUCUGCCUCAGUUGGUGGUGGCUCUGUUGUUUCAGGGGUUGUGUCUUCAGGUUUAGGGGUGGUGGGAGAGUCUGCUUCAGUUGGUGGUGGCUCUGUUGGUUCAGGGGUUGUGUCUUCAGGUUUAGGGGUGGUGGGAGAGUCUGCUUCAGUUAUUGGUUCCUCUGUGGCCUCUGGGGUUGUGUCUUCAGGUUUGGGGGUGAUGGGAGAUUCAGCCUUGGCUGUUGACGCUGCUGUUGUCGGUGGGGUAUCUAUGAGAACAUAUAUAUAUAUUAAGACAUUGGAAUUGCCGUGCAUACACCUAUUUCAUACUAAUUUAUUAUAGUAAUUAGAAAUAGCAAUUUACCUUUUGAAUAGCAA